AAGACAUUACCUUAGAUACAUUCCGUGUUUUAAAAAUACAUCUAAGGCGAUGUCUCAUGAACUCUAUACUCCUUCACCUUUUGCAAAUGAUCCUUGGGAAGACAUAAACCUAAAUUUCAUAUUAGAGCUUCCUAGGACAACAAAAGGUCUUGAUUCUUUCUUCAUGGAAGUGGAUAAACUCUUCUUAAGAAAAGUGACAAGCCUCC
RNAcentral lists this long non-coding RNA (206 nucleotides) under Phaseolus vulgaris (common bean). RNAcentral's name for it is "long non-coding RNA (PVUL_LNC000798)". The record is from RNAcentral. Lineage: Eukaryota; Viridiplantae; Streptophyta; Magnoliopsida; Fabales; Fabaceae.